UUGAUCCCUAAAAUUUAAGGAUUGAUUAUAGGAUUGAUCCCUAGAUUGGGAGGAUGUUUCCUAGAUCGAUCCCAGGGUUGUAGAAACCCUAAGGAUCAAUCAAAUAUUUUUAAGGAUAGAUCCUUAUGCACUAGAAACUCGAUUUUGACGUUUAAAAACCAUAAAAAUCGACCAUUAACUCGUUUUUAGCCCUAAGCACCAUAGGAGAAACCAUUUGCCCGAUUUCUCAGUCUCUAAGGGUGUUAGGAUGAAGAAGAGAGGAGAGAAGAGCUCAAAAACUAGUGACUUUUGUCAGUCCCAAAUGAAAAAAACUGUCUAUUUCAACCAUUUUUCUCAAGGUAAAACCUAUAACACUCAAAGUUAAUUAGUGUGGAGGCACUGUGAGUAGCACUGAGACUUAAGUAUUUGAAUUAUUUAAUUUUGGGUGUGUUACUUUAGAGCCCACACUCUUGGUCUCAUAAUCAGAAUUGAGGAGAAGGUUUAUAGGUCUGAAAACUCUAAGCUUGACAUGUGGAUUGAGUUUGGAGCAAGAGGAAUCAAAUCAACCCGAUCACUAAGCCUAACCGAUUUCAGUUUGCAGGCAGUACAAGUAACACUCAAAGUUAAGUAUUUUAAUUAUUUAAUUUUGGGGUGUUAAUUUUGGGCGUCUCAUAAUCAGAAUUGAGGAGAAGGUUUAGAGGUCUCAAAAUUCUAAGCUACUCAUGUGAAUUGAGUUUGGAGCAAGAGGAAUCAAAUUAGCCCCAUCACUAAGCCUAACCGAUUUCAGAUGAUCAAGUUGUAGACAUCUUUACCAAAAAUCUCACCACUACUCGCUUUAUUGAGUUAAGAGACAAGCUCUUGCUAUGUUCUCCUUCCAUUAACUUGCGGUGGGUGUUAGUCUAGAUGAUUAUACACCUCCCAUAAAUGCUAAUAGAUUCUUCCCCAUACAUAGAAUCAUAAUCCAGCUCAUAUUUGAUCACAUCUACAAGAAAACAACAAUUACGUCAUACUCGGGACAACGAGAACCAACUACACAAGGCAAUUCUCAUAUGUAAAAUAUUUGUAGUAAUUGUAAUCUCAUAAUUCAUGAGAUCUCUAUUCUCUUGUUUUUUUAAUCAUGGUAAUCCCAUUACUCGGGGAUUUUUAUUCUCUUGUUUUUUUAAUCAUGGUAAUCCCAUUACUCGGGGAUUUUUAUUCUCUUUGUACGAAGGGACGGAGUCGGGAAGUUUUAUGGGAGGGGAUCAAAGAAUUUUUUUUUU
Corylus avellana is the source of this 1238-nucleotide long non-coding RNA. RefSeq lists it as uncharacterized. Lineage: Eukaryota; Viridiplantae; Streptophyta; Magnoliopsida; Fagales; Betulaceae. The record is from RefSeq and is a predicted model, not a curated record.